Molecule: ribosomal RNA, 1066 nt
Filed under: uncultured bacterium
Lineage: Bacteria
Description: bacterial SSU rRNA
Rfam family: Bacterial small subunit ribosomal RNA
Source: RNAcentral
AGAGUUUGAUCCUGGCUCAGAUUGAACGCUGGCGGCAGGCCUAACACAUGCAAGUCGAACGGAGACAUGUCUAGCUUGCUAGACGAUGUCGAGUGGCGGACGGGUGAGUAAUGCUUGGGAACUUGCCUUUGCGAGGGGGAUAACAGUUGGAAACGACUGCUAAUACCGCAUAAUGUCUUCGGACCAAACGGGGCUUCGGCUCCGGCGCAAAGAGAGGCCCAAGUGAGAUUAGCUAGUUGGUGAGGUAAAGGCUCACCAAGGCAACGAUCUCUAGCUGUUCUGAGAGGAAGAUCAGCCACACUGGGACUGAGACACGGCCCAGACUCCUACGGGAGGCAGCAGUGGGGAAUAUUGCACAAUGGGGGAAACCCUGAUGCAGCCAUGCCGCGUGUGUGAAGAAGGCCUUCGGGUUGUAAAGCACUUUCAGUUGUGAGGAAAAGUUAGUAGUUAAUACCUGCUAGCCGUGACGUUAACAACAGAAGAAGCACCGGCUAACUCCGUGCCAGCAGCCGCGGUAAUACGGAGGGUGCGAGCGUUAAUCGGAAUUACUGGGCGUAAAGCGCACGCAGGCGGUUUGUUAAGCUAGAUGUGAAAGCCCCGGGCUCAACCUGGGACGGUCAUUUAGAACUGGCAGACUAGAGUCUUGGAGAGGGGAGUGGAAUUCCAGGUGUAGCGGUGAAAUGCGUAGAUAUCUGGAGGAACAUCAGUGGCGAAAGGCGACUCCCUGUCCAAAGACUGACGCUCAUGUGCGAAAGUGUGGUAGCGAACAGGAUUAGAUACCCUGGUAGUCCACACCGUAAACGCUGUCUACUAGCUGUUUGUGGCUUUAAGCCGUGAGUAGCGAAGCUAACGCGAUAAGUAGACGCUGGGGAGUACGCGCAAGGUAAACUCAAUGAUGACGGGGCCGCACAAGCGUGAGCAUGUGAUAUCGAUGCACGCGAGACUAACUACCUGAAUGUGAAAGUACCAGAAUGUCCUGCUCGGAUUAAACAGUGCUGCAUGCUGUCUUCAGUCUGGUCUGAAGUUGGUGCCAGUCGUACACAGGCACUCUCAUUUAAGUGCCACG